CAGUAGCCGCGGGAAUACGUAGGUGGCAAGCGUUGUCCGGAAUUAUUGGGCGUAAAGCGCGCGCAGGUGGUUUAAUAAGUCUGAUGUGAAAGCCCACGGCUCAACCGUGGAGGGUCAUUGGAAACUGUUAAACUUGAGUGCAGGAGAGAAAAGUGGAAUUCCUAGUGUAGCGGUGAAAUGCGUAGAGAUUAGGAGAAACACCAGUGGCGAAGGCGGCUUUUUGGCCUGUAACUGACGCUGAGGCGCGAAAGCGUGGGGAGCAAACAGGAUUAGAUACCCGAGUAGUCCCUGUCUCUUAUAC
Molecule: ribosomal RNA, 301 nt
Filed under: uncultured bacterium
Lineage: Bacteria
Description: partial 16S ribosomal RNA
Rfam family: Bacterial small subunit ribosomal RNA
Source: RNAcentral